UAACAUGGCGUGUUGUGUGUUCUCCUAUGUGUAACUUGACAUGUUGUGUGUUAUCCCCGUGUGUAGCUGGACGCGGAGCAGAAGGAGUGGAUGGUGACCUGCUCCACCACAGAGUACCACGACAUGAACCGACUCUUGUCCAAGAACCCGAACCUGGCCAAACUGAAGGACCUAACAAAUGGUGUAAGUAUUGUAUUGUAAUAUUGUAAGUCCUUUGUCUUAAUUAAGUGUAUUGUAAGUCAUUUGUCGUAAGUGUAUUGUCUUACUUGUAUUGUAAGUCCUUUGACUUAAGCAGAUAGUUUCAGUAUCUUUUUACACUGGUCAGCAAAUUUUCAGAGUUUCUGCUUUCGAGCUCAAACAUCACUUUUUUGUGUGCAUUUUAGGGUUCUGAAGAGGAAAAUGGAGGGGAAACUUGACGUAAGUGUAUUGCACACGCACCGUUACAUGAGACCAGGUUACCCUUCAUUGUCAAAUGUGGUCAAAACUCCCUGUGACAAUUUGUUACUUAUAGAUCUACUCUCUGUGAAGUGACAAUUUGUUACCAUAGAUCUACUCUCUGUGAAGUGACAAUUUGUUACUAUAGAUCUACUCUCUGUGAAGUGACAAUUUGUUACAUAGAUCUACUCUCUGUGAAGUGACAAUUUGUUACAUAGAUCUACUCUCUGUGAAGUGACAAUUUGUUACUAUAGAUCUACUCUCUGUGAAGUGACAAUUUGUUACUAUAGAUCUACUCUCUGUGAAGUGACAAUUUGUUACAUAGAUCUACUCUCUGUGAAGUGACUGCUACGGUUAACAAGAUCUAUUGAAAGUGACCAAAAUUGUCUGUUGUAUAUGUCUGUACCAAUGUCUCUUUGUGAAGUCGUUGUUCAACAGUGACUAUUUCUGUUUUUAUUCCAUGCUCCACGGCUGCCUGGGAUGACCGCACCAAUUCUAGUAUGUAAGUAUACAGUAAACAAUUCUAGUAUGUAAGUAUACAGUGAGCAAUUCUAGUAUGUAAGUAUACAGUAAGCAAUUCUAGUAUGUAAGUAUACAGUAAGCAAUUCUAGUAUGUAAGUAUACAGUAAGCAAUUCUAGUAUGUAAGUAUACAGUAAACAAGUGUGGUAUGUAAGUAUACAGUAAACAAUUCUGGUAUGUA
Long non-coding RNA from Aplysia californica (California sea hare), 1136 nucleotides. RefSeq lists it as uncharacterized. The record is from RefSeq and is a predicted model, not a curated record. Lineage: Eukaryota; Metazoa; Mollusca; Gastropoda; Aplysiida; Aplysiidae. The transcript is spliced from 3 exons.